AGCGAACGCUGGCGGCAUGCCUAACACAUGCAAGUCGCACGGGGGGGCUUCGGCCUCCCAGUGGCGGACGGGUGAGGAACGCGUAGGGACCUGUCGAGGGGUGGGGGAUAACCGCGGGAAACUGCGGCUAAUACCGCAUGACGCCGCGGCGUGACAGCCGGGGCCAAGGCGAAAGCCGCCCGCCGAGGGGCCUGCGUCCGAUUAGCUGGUUGGCGGGGUAGCGGCCCACCAAGGCGUCGAUCGGUAGCUGGUCUGAGAGGGUGAUCAGCCACACCGGGACUGAGACACGGCCCGGACUCCUGCGGGAGGCAGCAGUGGGGAAUAUUGGACAAUGGGCGCAAGCCUGAUCCAGCAAUGCCGCGUGGGUGAAGAAGGUCUUCGGAUUGUAAAGCCCUUUCGGCGGGGACGAUGGUGACGGUACCCGCAGAAGAGGCCCCGGCUAACUUCGUG
This 450-nucleotide ribosomal RNA is filed under the name uncultured bacterium. RNAcentral's name for it is "partial 16S ribosomal RNA". It matches the Rfam family "Bacterial small subunit ribosomal RNA", at positions 28 to 507 of the family's 1533-position model. The record is from RNAcentral.